This 1051-nucleotide unclassified non-coding RNA is filed under the name Bombus terrestris (buff-tailed bumblebee). RNAcentral describes it as "misc RNA ENSBTSG00005031447.1". Lineage: Eukaryota; Metazoa; Arthropoda; Insecta; Hymenoptera; Apidae. The record is from RNAcentral.
GUCGCUUCGUGACUCUCGAAAUCCGUUGUAAAAAUAUAAAGGCAUGUUUGUUCGGACAACACAGUAUGCAAGUUGCCGAAAAGAAGCGGCGAAACGCGUGGCGUCCCGGUCCUGGAGAAAUGCCAGUCGUUAAUCUGUUUCUUCGUCGUGUUCAAGGAUUGGACGGAAACCUUCGUCAGAGACACUCGCGCAGGAAAUUUCAACUCUCUCGUGCACGAGGCAGCAACGAAUUGGAAAUAUCAUUGACCGUUUCGCGUGGAAUUCCACGCAUGCCAUUCCUGGCCGGUGGACGUACAGCUUUUACGCAACUGAUCGCCAGUUAAAGAGACGGCUGCAAUAAAGAGCACUUGUCAGUAAUUCGAGUGAAACGAACAAAAAGGAACGUACAUUAAAAAUCAACAUAAAUUCUAUGUAAAUAAGUAAACUUGGCUCGAAGUCGAUCGAUGUUAAAUUACUUUUUCAAAUAUGAUAAUGUACCAUACCAUCGUACCAAAGUUAUUUCAGUCACCUGGGCUUCAACGUUUAAAUAUCAAUCUGGAACAUUGCGCAGGACAGUGGAACUACGUUGUGCAUGAAUAAUUAAUCGAAUCGUUGGAUAAUCAAAAGAUAUUGAGCCGUUGAAUAACUUUUAAUUUCUAAUUUGUUAAUGGAGCGUAUCUUCCAGACUAAUCAAUUACACGUCCAAGAGCUGGAACGUCUCUGUAUAUUCAUAAUCGGACACGGAGAUUGAGAGUCCCUUCUGAAAGCCAACUUCGCGCUGCACUCGCAGAAAACCCUGAAGCGACAAAGAAACGCUUUCACGUUCGUCACGUUCUAUAAUUAAACGUAGCAGCGUGCUGGAAUAUAACGAUUCGAAACAUUAACGCCAUAGUGAAGUCGUCAAGCAAGAGCACUUUCGCAAACAGGAAGGGAACGCAAUAACGCCCGAUCAAAGGGACGGGAAGCGAUUACUUCGGUGGUGUGUUCGUCAUUGACCCAAAUCACCAGUCUAGAAAGACAUGGCCGGCCUCUGAAUCUUGACAUUGAAUCGUUGUAAUAUAGUUCCGCCCCG